RNAcentral lists this ribosomal RNA (492 nucleotides) under uncultured bacterium. Its description in RNAcentral is "partial 16S ribosomal RNA". It matches the Rfam family "Bacterial small subunit ribosomal RNA", at positions 29 to 507 of the family's 1533-position model. The record is from RNAcentral.
AGUGAACGCUGGCGGUAGGCCUAACACAUGCAAGUCGAACGGCAGCACAGUAAGAGCUUGCUCUUACGGGUGGCGAGUGGCGGACGGGUGAGGAAUACAUCGGAAUCUACUUUUUCGUGGGGGAUAACGUAGGGAAACUUACGCUAAUACCGCAUACGACCUACGGGUGAAAGCAGGGGAUCUUCGGACCUUGCGCGAUUGAAUGAGCCGAUGUCGGAUUAGCUAGUUGGCGGGGUAAAGGCCCACCAAGGCGACGAUCCGUAGCUGGCCUGAGAGGAUGAUCAGCCACACUGGAACUGAGACACGGUCCAGACUCCUACGGGAGGCAGCAGUGGGGAAUAUUGGACAAUGGGCGCAAGCCUGAUCCAGCCAUACCGCGUGGGUGAAGAAGGCCUUCGGGUUGUAAAGCCCUUUUGUUGGGAAAGAAAAGCAGCAAGUUAAUACCCCGCUGUUCUGACGGUACCCAAAGAAUAAGCACCGGCUAACUUCGUG